RNAcentral lists this ribosomal RNA (450 nucleotides) under uncultured bacterium. RNAcentral's name for it is "partial 16S ribosomal RNA". It matches the Rfam family "Bacterial small subunit ribosomal RNA", at positions 354 to 796 of the family's 1533-position model. The record is from RNAcentral.
GUGGGGAAUAUUGGACAAUGGGCGCAAGCCUGAUCCAGCAAUGCCGCGUGGGUGAAGAAGGCCUUCGGGUUGUAAACUGCUUUUGUACGGAACGAAACGGUCCGGGUUAAUACCCUGGGCUAAUGACGGUACCGUAAGAAUAAGCACCGGCUAACUACGUGCCAGCAGCCGCGGUAAUACGUAGGGUGCAAGCGUUAAUCGGAAUUACUGGGCGUAAAGCGUGCGCAGGCGGUUUUGUAAGACAGGCGUGAAAUCCCCGGGCUCAACCUGGGAAUUGCGCUUGUGACUGCAAGGCUGGAGUGUGGCAGAGGGGGAUGGAAUUCCGCGUGUAGCAGUGAAAUGCGUAGAGAUGCGGAGGAACACCGAUGGCGAAGGCAGCCUCCUGGGAUAACACUGACGCUCAGGCACGAAAGCGUGGGGAGCAAACAGGAUUAGAUACCCUUGUAGUCC